Molecule: transfer RNA, 81 nt
Filed under: Lentinus tigrinus ALCF2SS1-7
Lineage: Eukaryota; Fungi; Basidiomycota; Agaricomycetes; Polyporales; Polyporaceae
Also listed under: 1 other name
Description: tRNA-Arg
Rfam family: tRNA
About the family: Transfer RNA (tRNA) molecules are approximately 80 nucleotides in length. Their secondary structure includes four short double-helical elements and three loops (D, anti-codon, and T loops). Further hydrogen bonds mediate the characteristic L-shaped molecular structure. tRNAs have two regions of fundamental functional importance: the anti-codon, which is responsible for specific mRNA codon recognition, and the 3' end, to which the tRNAs corresponding amino acid is attached (by aminoacyl-tRNA synthetases). tRNAs cope with the degeneracy of the genetic code in two manners: having more than one tRNA (with a specific anti-codon) for a particular amino acid; and 'wobble' base-pairing, i.e. permitting non-standard base-pairing at the 3rd anti-codon position.
Source: RNAcentral
GGCCGCCUGGCGUAAUGGCAACGCGUCUGACUACGAUGCUCGGUAAUCAGGAGAUUGCAGGUUCGACCCCUGCGGUGGUCA